RNAcentral lists this ribosomal RNA (498 nucleotides) under uncultured bacterium. RNAcentral's name for it is "partial 16S ribosomal RNA". It matches the Rfam family "Bacterial small subunit ribosomal RNA", at positions 29 to 523 of the family's 1533-position model. The record is from RNAcentral.
AUUGAACGCUGGCGGCAUGCUUUACACAUGCAAGUCGAACGGUAACAGGCCGCAAGGUGCUGACGAGUGGCGAACGGGUGAGUAAUGCAUCGGAACGUGCCCAGUCGUGGGGGAUAACGCAGCGAAAGCUGCGCUAAUACCGCAUACGAUCUCUGGAUGAAAGCGGGGGACCGAAAGGCCUCGCGCGAUUGGAGCGGCCGAUGUCAGAUUAGGUAGUUGGUGGGGUAAAGGCCCACCAAGCCAACGAUCUGUAGCUGGUCUGAGGGGACGACCAGCCACACUGGGACUGAGACACGGCCCAGACUCCUACGGGAGGCAGCAGUGGGGAAUUUUGGACAAUGGGCGCAAGCCUGAUCCAGCAAUGCCGCGUGCAGGAAGAAGGCCUUCGGGUUGUAAACUGCUUUUGUACGGAACGAAACGGUCUGGGUUAAUACCCUGGGCUAAUGACGGUACCGUAAGAAUAAGCACCGGCUAACUACGUGCCAGCAGCCGCGGUAA